CAGGACUGCUCUACCUCCAUCCUGUGGUACGAUCCGUGUGGCUUUGGACAGAACUCAGUGAACAACCUCAAGUAUUUCUCAAGUUUUUCUUCAUUUCUCCUGUAUCUCUGAGCUGUUUUGUACUGUGAGAGCUAGAUCGAGGGAUGGAAGGCAUUGACUCAGAGCUAAAGGCAGUCUGUGCACAAGGGGAUAUGUGGAUUCUCAUUUUGUGUCCAAAGAAAUUGUGGGUGCAAUUAAGAUAUUAAAUUCAAGGAAACUGUAUAGAUUAGCUGGAGGAGUUUAGUAAAUAGUUAAAGGAUCAGCUAAUCCUUCCUUUACUGAUGACUUACAUCAGCUCUUUACUUGCAGUAGCUCCAGCUUUGCUUUCCAGGCUUGUAGCUCAGCUACUGCAUAAAGAGUUCCACGGCAGGAAGGCAGCAAAAGCAGAAAAGAGGUCAAUGGGCAACCCCUCCCUCCAAGGUUCCACGCAGGGAGAGGCUGCCACCGCUUUCCAAGCUGUUAUAAACCAAGCAAACCCAAAUUUCAGGUGAGACCUCCUUCUUUGGCUUUGGUUCAAAACUAUGAAGUGGAAAACUCCUGUCUAGAGGUCUAUGCAAACCUCUGUCUCUUUAAGUUGGUCUGAACAAACUACUAUUGCUCUUGCUUUAAAGAAAAUGUCAUAACUUGUUUAAAGAAGAAAAAGAAAGAAAUUUCCCAAGAAAAGCAUAAACAUUCACAGUGCUGCUCAGCAGAAAUAUGCUGUGGCCUCUUUCCACCGGGAAGGCAGAGGAAAUUGGGAUUUCACCCCCCUGACCUCUUUUAGGAAAAAAAUACAUAUAACUUCAAAUAACUUCAUUUUGGUGUCAGCAUUCAACAGAGUUCCAAAAAAAAAAAAGAAAAAAAGAGAGAGAUGAAGGAGAUGAAGUCUCCUUUCCCCUUCCUCUAGAGCACAGAACAGGAAUCUAGUAUUAUCGUGUCAUCAUUGUACAAGAGAGAACUAUUUAUAAUUUUCUGAACUUCCAUCUUGUAAGCAGGGAAAUACAACAGCUUCUUUAAAAAGCCCAGCAGGGAUUUUUCUGAAUUUGCACAACACGGAGUCAUCUAACAGGAGAAAAAAAAAAAAAACAAAAAACAUUUCUGCUAGUGCAGCCAUAGCUGUAUCUUAAAAUCUAGAUGCUAAACAGACACGUGUGUUCAACAAGGCAUCUUGUCCAUGCUGCUUGUUCUUAAGGUACAAACAGUACAAGGAACAACUCAGUGAGAUUCUAGUCCCAGAUGAGCAACUGGGUUCUGCCAAAAUAGAAAUAUGCUGUUAAUUUUCCUCAGUGACAGCACUGCCACAUCGUCAUCCUACAUGACAUCUGAUCAUAUCCGGGUGGACUUAAUGCUUUAAAGUACUAGACAUCAAUGAAAACAAAGACAGGGGUAGCAGUGGAGGGCGUUUGACAGCAGGAUGGCACCACUCCAAGCUCUCAAGGCAAGUCCCUGGCAAAUAGUAAGCAAUUUUGUUGAAAGAGUGAAAGAGCAGUGAGCAGAACGGCCCUGAGGAGGUGCAUUGCAGCAAAUGGGUGUGGGGCUGUUGUGGAUGAUGCUGCCCUGAUGGGGGAGGAAGACCCCAAGCCCCUGUGUCCUCCAAGAGCAGGGCAGCACAAGGGAGAACACUGGUGGGGAAAGGAACAGGGCAGAGAAAUGGGAAGGAGUGGGAGGUCUUUACUGAUGUGACACAAGCGCCUCUGUGACUUGGAGUUGUCCUGAAGGUGGCUGGGGGCAAGGGGUGGCCACAUCAGAACAAGCAUGAUGCACACUUGUCUGAUUUAUGAAAAGUCCAGUGCACUUUGAUCCCCUCCUAGUCCUCAGGAUGGGAUUGGUCUAAUGAUGUGUAUCUGCUGGUAUGCAGCAAGGUGUAACCCCCAGCCUUCUUCUGAAGGUGUCCUAUGUGUACGUGGUAUGAUUUGAGACCAGAGCCCAUUUUACAGCGGAGUUUUCAGCAACCUGUUUACCGUCAUAAAUAAGGUCAAAUCUCGAAAGCUUAAUUCUUCUGUGUCUGAUGUGUCUCUUCUGUAUUUUAUAGUAUGUAACCGUGGGUGCUUUAAAAGAGCAUGUGAAUUACAGGUAUGUGAUCAGGAGUCUGCCCUCCCUUAGUAAAAGUGUCAAUCACCUCCUGACUCAACCUUAAUCUUCAAAAUAGCCUAUAAGGUCAUAGAAAAGACACAGAACUCAGGAUUUUUGCUGAAAAUAGAGUCCUUGUGUCUUUUUCAAAUAUGGAUGUCUUUUAAAUAAAAGCCAGUGGCAAUGAUUAUAAUUGAAUGGC
RNAcentral lists this long non-coding RNA (2290 nucleotides) under Anas platyrhynchos platyrhynchos (common mallard). RNAcentral's name for it is "lncRNA (ENSAPLG00000031253.1)". The record is from RNAcentral. Lineage: Eukaryota; Metazoa; Chordata; Aves; Anseriformes; Anatidae.